UCUUGGUCAGGACGAACGCUGGCGGCGUGCCUAACACAUGCAAGUCGAACGGAGUAAGAAUUCGGUUUUACUUAGUGGCGAACGGGUGAGUAACGCGUGAACAACCUGCCUUCCUGAGGGGGAUAACACCUGGAAACAAGUGCUAAUACCGCAUAAGACCACAGAGCCGCAUGGCUCAGGGGUCAAAGGAGUGAUCCGCAGGAAGAGGGGUUCGCGUCCCAUUAGCUAGUUGGCGGGGCAACGGCCCACCAAGGCGACGAUGGGUAGCCGAGCUGAGAGGCUGAUCGGCCACACUGGAACUGAGACACGGUCCAGACUCCUACGGGAGGCAGCAGUGGGGAAUAUUGGGCAAUGGGCGCAAGCCUGAACCCCAGCAACGCCGCGUGAGGGAAGAAGGUCUUCGGAUUGUAAACCUCUGUCCUAUGUGACGAAGGAAGUGACGGUAGCAUAGGAGGGAGCCCCGGCUAACUACGUGCCAGCCGCCGC
This 486-nucleotide ribosomal RNA is filed under the name uncultured bacterium. RNAcentral describes it as "bacterial SSU rRNA". It matches the Rfam family "Bacterial small subunit ribosomal RNA", at positions 18 to 518 of the family's 1533-position model. The record is from RNAcentral.